GAUGAACGCUGGCGGCGUGCCUGAUACAUGCAAGUCGAGCGAACAGACGAGGAGCUUGCUCCUCUGACGUUAGCGGCGGACGGGUGAGUAACACGUGGAUAACCUACCUAUAAGACUGGGAUAACUUCGGGAAACCGGAGCUAAUACCGGAUAACAUGUUGAACCGCAUGGUUCAACAGUGAAAGACGGUCUUGCUGUCACUUAUAGAUGGAUCCGCGCCGCAUUAGCUAGUUGGUAAGGUAACGGCUUACCAAGGCAACGAUGCGUAGCCGACCUGAGAGGGUGAUCGGCCACACUGGAACUGAGACACGGUCCAGACUCCUACGGGAGGCAGCAGUAGGGAAUCUUCCGCAAUGGGCGAAAGCCUGACGGAGCAACGCCGCGUGAGUGAAGAAGGUCUUCGGAUCGUAAAACUCUGUUAUUAGGGAAGAACAAAUGUGUAAGUAACUAUGCACGUCUUGACGGUAUCUAAUCAGAAAGCCACGGCUAACUACGUG
RNAcentral lists this ribosomal RNA (497 nucleotides) under uncultured bacterium. RNAcentral's name for it is "partial 16S ribosomal RNA". It matches the Rfam family "Bacterial small subunit ribosomal RNA", at positions 28 to 507 of the family's 1533-position model. The record is from RNAcentral.